RNAcentral lists this transfer RNA (73 nucleotides) under Catenulispora sp. RNAcentral describes it as "tRNA-Thr". It matches the Rfam family "tRNA". From Rfam's summary of the family: Transfer RNA (tRNA) molecules are approximately 80 nucleotides in length. Their secondary structure includes four short double-helical elements and three loops (D, anti-codon, and T loops). Further hydrogen bonds mediate the characteristic L-shaped molecular structure. tRNAs have two regions of fundamental functional importance: the anti-codon, which is responsible for specific mRNA codon recognition, and the 3' end, to which the tRNAs corresponding amino acid is attached (by aminoacyl-tRNA synthetases). tRNAs cope with the degeneracy of the genetic code in two manners: having more than one tRNA (with a specific anti-codon) for a particular amino acid; and 'wobble' base-pairing, i.e. permitting non-standard base-pairing at the 3rd anti-codon position. The record is from RNAcentral. Lineage: Bacteria; Bacillati; Actinomycetota; Actinomycetes; Catenulisporales; Catenulisporaceae. RNAcentral also lists the same sequence under 1 other name.
GCCGCCGUGGCGCAAUUGGCAGCGCAACGCACUUGUAAUGCGUAGGUUAGGGGUUCGAGUCCCCUCGGCGGCU